This 236-nucleotide unclassified non-coding RNA is filed under the name Hevea brasiliensis (rubber tree). Lineage: Eukaryota; Viridiplantae; Streptophyta; Magnoliopsida; Malpighiales; Euphorbiaceae. The record is from RNAcentral.
AUGAUUCUCUUGUCUUCAUGAAUGACGUAUUGACUUGGGGUGAUGUUGAUAUAGCAGCUAGAGUUUCUGAAUCUCAUUAUGAAUCGAGAUCGGCUGCAACAUCAACACCACCAGUUGAAAAUCCAUCAUUUCGAAGGCCUCGUGCAAUGAGAGGUGCAUCCUCUUCACAAGUUGAUGAUGAUGAAGAGAAGGAAGAAUUUGUUAUGGCCGUUGUUGAAAAUGAAGAUUUUGGAAAU